This 1977-nucleotide ribosomal RNA is filed under the name Muribaculaceae bacterium. RNAcentral's name for it is "partial 23S ribosomal RNA". It matches the Rfam family "Bacterial large subunit ribosomal RNA", at positions 1 to 1982 of the family's 2925-position model. The record is from RNAcentral. Lineage: Bacteria; Pseudomonadati; Bacteroidota; Bacteroidia; Bacteroidales; Muribaculaceae.
AGGAAAGUAACGAAGGGCGAAUGGUGGAUGCCUAGGCUCUUACAGGCGAUGAAGGACGUGAUAAGCUGCGAAAAGCCGCGGUGAGGUGCAAAUAACCUUUGACCCGCGGAUCUCCGAAUGGGACAACCCGGCACUCUGAAGGAGUGUCAUCCGUUAUAUUGACGGAGGCGAACGCAGGGAACUGAAACAUCUUAGUACCUGCAGGAAAAGAAAAUAAGAAUGAUUCCCCCAGUAGUGGCGAGCGACCGGGGAAUAGCCCAAACCCGUCCUGUUUCGGCAGGUCGGGGGUUGUAGGACCACGAUAUCGGACGAAAUUUUGUGAGGGGAAUGAUCUGGAAAGUUCAUCCGCAGAGCGUGAAAGACGCGUACCCGAAGCAAAAUGAACCGUAGUGGUAUCCUGAGUAGCGCGGGACACGAGGAAUCCUGUGUGAAUCCGCCGGGACCAUCCGGCAAGGCUAAAUACUCGUAAGAGACCGAUAGUGAACGAGUACCGUGAGGGAAAGGUGAAAAGCACCCCGAACAGGGGAGUGAAAUAGUUCCUGAACCCAUUCGCCUACAAGCGGUCGGAGCACCUUUUAGGUGUGACGGCGUGCCUUUUGCAUAAUGAACCUACGAGUUGCCGUUUGCGGCAAGGUUAAGGAUGACGACAUCCCGAGCCGUAGCGAAAGCGAGUCUGAACAGGGCGCCAGAGUCGCAAGUGGCAGACGCGAAACCGAGUGAUCUACACUUGUCCAGGAUGAAGUCCCGGUAACACGGGAUGGAGGUCCGCACCAAUAAGCGUUGAAAAGCUUCUGGAUGAGGUGAGUGUAGGAGUGAAAGGCCAAUCAAACUCGGAGAUAGCUCGUACUCCCCGAAAGGCAUUUAGGUGCCGCCUGUGACGUUCCCGACAAGAGGUAGAGCGACUGAUUGGAUGCGAGGGCUUCACCGCCUAUCAAGUCCAGAUAAACUCCGAAUGCUUGUCGGCCAAGUCAUGGAGUAAGGGCAUGGGUGCUAAGGUCCGUGCCCGAGAGGAGAAGAAUCCAGACCGCCGGCUAAGGUCCCGAAAUACAGGUUAAGUUAAUCUAACGCAGUCCGGCCCCCCAGACAGCUAGGAUGUUGGCUUGGAAGCAGCCAUUCAUUCAAAGAGUGCGUAACAGCUCACUAGUCGAGGAGCUGGGCGUGGAUAAUAAUCGGGUAUAAAACCUGUUACCGAAGCCGCGGGAUGCUUUAUUAGCAUCGGUAGGGGAGCAUUCCAUUCGGCGUCGAAGGCGCGGCGUGAGCCGCUCUGGAGCGUAUGGAAAAGCAAAUGUAGGUAUAAGUAACGAUAAGGAGGGUGAGAUGCCCUCCCGCCGCAAGACCAAGGUUUCCUGGACAACGUUAAUCGUUCCAGGGUAAGUCGGUUCCUAAGUAUCAGCCGAAAGGCGAGUGCGAUGGCAGAAACGGUUAAAAUUCCGUUACUGCCCUUGUAUGUGACGCGGGGACGGAGAAGUGACACGGCCGCCGUCUGACGGAAUAGACGGUUGAAGGGCGUAUGCGUAGAUAGGGGCAGGCAAAUCCACCCCUUGAGCAGAAACCUGAAAGUACACCAAAUCCUCCGGGAUGCGGUGAUAGCGCCGGUAAUCUGGCUCCCGAGAAAAUCCGCUAAACUUCAGUACAAGGGCAACCGUACCGUAAACGGACACACGUGGUCGGGUUGAGUAUACUAAGGCGCUCGGGUGAUUCACGGUUAAGGAACUAGGCAAAUUGACCCCGUACCUUCGGAAUAAGGGGUCCUCACUGUAGCAGGUGAGGCGCAGAGAAUAGGUCCAGGCAACUGUUUAGCAAAAACACAGGGCUGUGCUAAAUCGAAAGAUGCUGUAUACAGCCUGACACCUGCCCGGUGCCGGAAGGUUAAGAGGAGAGCUCAUCAGCAAUGAGAAGGUUUGAAUUGAAGCCCCGGUAAACGGCGGCCGUAACUAUAACGGUCCUAAGGUAGCGAAAUUCCUUGUCGGGUAAGUU